AUUUUCUUCGGAACUGAAGAUUUGGUGAUUGAGUGGCGGACGGGUGAGUAACGCGUGGGUAACCUGCCCUGUACAGGGGGAUAACAGUUGGAAACGGCUGCUAAUACCGCAUAAGCGCACAGUACCGCAUGGUACAGUGUGAAAAACUCCGGUGGUAUGAGAUGGACCCGCGUCUGAUUAGCUAGUUGGCAGGGCAGCGGCCUACCAAGGCGACGAUCAGUAGCCGACCUGAGAGGGUGACCGGCCACAUUGGGACUGAGACACGGCCCAAACUCC
This 276-nucleotide ribosomal RNA is filed under the name uncultured Lachnospiraceae bacterium. RNAcentral's name for it is "partial 16S ribosomal RNA". It matches the Rfam family "Bacterial small subunit ribosomal RNA", at positions 69 to 339 of the family's 1533-position model. The record is from RNAcentral. Lineage: Bacteria; Bacillati; Bacillota; Clostridia; Lachnospirales; Lachnospiraceae.